AAAUAAAUGAGAUUAUCCUGCCAUGUUUUGUUUUGCGGAAUCAGAUUCUGAAAUAAGCAAAGCCAGUGAGAUACUUUAAGGUCUGUAAGAGAGAGGCCUGCUAUUCCCAUCGUGAAUUCUACCCUCUGAAUUAGGUCUUUGUGCUAUUAGGAGCUUUUUCUUCUGUUUAUUUUGCUACAGGAUCAUGCCUUCCCUGGAACCAAGCAGCAUGUAAAACCUGUGAUUUUUGGGGGCCCUUGAGUGAUGAAGCUGGUGAUGGAAAGGCCACUUCUUGCAGCACUGACUAUAAACAGAAGUUCUGUAAGUUAGAGAGACGGUGACAUUCUGUUCUACUUUGGUGAUGCUCAAGUUGAGAGUUUAUAUGAGAGUUAUCCCCUGGAGAAGAGGCAUGGAAGCAAACAGAGUCCUGCAUUUUCCUGGAUGGGCAGUGGAGCAUUCAGUGACCUGCCAGUCAGAGUGGCAAAGGAACUUGUAGUUUUGGAGGAAAGACAACUGAGUAUCACGACAACAUGCCUCUCAUUGGCAUUUAGGUCUCAUCCUUACGAUCAAUUUACACCUAUGACAAAGAGCAGGAAAUAA
RNAcentral lists this long non-coding RNA (579 nucleotides) under Coturnix japonica (Japanese quail). RNAcentral's name for it is "lncRNA (ENSCJPG00005020599.1)". The record is from RNAcentral. Lineage: Eukaryota; Metazoa; Chordata; Aves; Galliformes; Phasianidae.